This 75-nucleotide transfer RNA is filed under the name Oscillospiraceae bacterium. RNAcentral's name for it is "tRNA-Cys". It matches the Rfam family "tRNA". From Rfam's summary of the family: Transfer RNA (tRNA) molecules are approximately 80 nucleotides in length. Their secondary structure includes four short double-helical elements and three loops (D, anti-codon, and T loops). Lineage: Bacteria; Bacillati; Bacillota; Clostridia; Eubacteriales; Oscillospiraceae. The record is from RNAcentral.
GGCGACAUAGCCAAGCGGUAAGGCCAGGGUCUGCAAAACCCUCAUCCCCCGGUUCGAGUCCGGGUGUCGCCUCCA